UACGUAGGGUGCAAGCGUUGUCCGGAAUUAUUGGGCGUAAAGAGCUCGUAGGCGGUCUGUCGCGUCUGCUGUGAAAACUCAGGGCUUAACCCUGAGCUUGCAGUGGGUACGGGCAGACUAGAGUGCGGUAGGGGAGACUGGAAUUCCUGGUGUAGCGGUGAAAUGCGUAGAUAUCAGGAGGAACACCUGUGGCGAAAGCGGCUCACUGGACCAUUACUGACGCUGGAUGACGCGAAAGCCUAGGGGAGCAAACAGG
RNAcentral lists this ribosomal RNA (256 nucleotides) under uncultured bacterium. Its description in RNAcentral is "partial 16S ribosomal RNA". It matches the Rfam family "Bacterial small subunit ribosomal RNA", at positions 524 to 776 of the family's 1533-position model. The record is from RNAcentral.